This 403-nucleotide ribosomal RNA is filed under the name uncultured bacterium. Its description in RNAcentral is "partial 16S ribosomal RNA". It matches the Rfam family "Bacterial small subunit ribosomal RNA", at positions 28 to 526 of the family's 1533-position model. The record is from RNAcentral.
GACGAACGCUGGCGGCGUGCCUAAUACAUGCAAGUCGAACGCAGUGGGGACGGGUGAGUAACACGUGGGUAACCUCCCAUCAGAUGGGAUAACACUUGGAAACAGGUGCUAAACCGAUAUUGAUUGAUGGACCCGCGGGUCAUUAGCUAGUUGGUGAGGUAACGGCUCACCAAGGCCACGAUGCAUAGCCGACCUGAGAGGGUGAUGGUACACACUGGUACUGAGACACGGCACAGCAUCAUACGGGAGGCAGAAGUAGGGAAUCUUCGGCAAUGGACGAAAGUCUGACCGAGCAACGCCGCGUGAGUGAAGAAGGUUUUCGGAUCGUAAAACUCUGUUGUUAGAGAAGCGGUAUCUAACCAGAAAGCCACGGCUAACUACGUGCCAGAAGCCGCGGUAAUAC